This 442-nucleotide ribosomal RNA is filed under the name uncultured bacterium. RNAcentral describes it as "bacterial SSU rRNA". It matches the Rfam family "Bacterial small subunit ribosomal RNA", at positions 338 to 795 of the family's 1533-position model. The record is from RNAcentral. RNAcentral also lists the same sequence under 1 other name.
CCUACGGGAGGCAGCAGUGAGGAAUCUUCCACAAUGGGCGAAAGCCUGAUGGAGCAACGCCGCGUGAAGGAUGAAGGCCUUCGGGUUGUAAACUUCUUUUAUGAGUGAAGAAUAUGACGGUAACUCAUGAAUAAGCACCGGCUAACUACGUGCCAGCAGCCGCGGUCAUACGUAGGGUGCAAGCAUUAUCCGGAGUGACUGGGCGUAAAGAGUUGCGUAGGCGGUUUAAUAAGUGAAUAGUGAAACCUGGUGGCUCAACCAUACAGACUAUUAUUCAAACUGUUAAACUCGAGAAUGGUAGAGGUAACUGGAAUUUCUAGUGUAGGAGUGAAAUCCGUAGAUAUUAGAAGGAACACCGAUGGCGUAGGCAGGUUACUGGGCCAUUUCUGACGCUAAGGCACGAAAGCGUGGGGAGCGAACCGGAUUAGAUACCCCAGUAGUC